RNAcentral lists this transfer RNA (76 nucleotides) under Pseudomonadota bacterium. RNAcentral's name for it is "tRNA-Ala". It matches the Rfam family "tRNA". Rfam says of the family: Transfer RNA (tRNA) molecules are approximately 80 nucleotides in length. Their secondary structure includes four short double-helical elements and three loops (D, anti-codon, and T loops). The record is from RNAcentral. Lineage: Bacteria; Pseudomonadati; Pseudomonadota.
GGGGCUGUAGCUCAGAUGGGAGAGCGCUGCAAUCGCACUGCAGAGGCCAGCGGUUCGAUCCCGCUCAGCUCCACCA